This 497-nucleotide ribosomal RNA is filed under the name uncultured bacterium. Its description in RNAcentral is "partial 16S ribosomal RNA". It matches the Rfam family "Bacterial small subunit ribosomal RNA", at positions 28 to 507 of the family's 1533-position model. The record is from RNAcentral.
GAUGAACGCUGGCGGCGUGCCUAAUACAUGCAAGUCGAGCGAACAGACGAGGAGCUUGCUCCUUUGACGUUAGCGGCGGACGGGUGAGUAACACGUGGAUAACCUACCUAUAAGACUGGGAUAACUUUGGGAAACCGGAGCUAAUACCGGAUAACAUGUUGAACCGCAUGGUUCAACAGUGAAAGACGGUCUUGCUGUCACUUAUAGAUGGAUCCGCGCCGCAUUAGCUAGUUGGUAAGGUAACGGCUUACCAAGGCAACGAUGCGUAGCCGACCUGAGAGGGUGAUCGGCCACACUGGAACUGAGACACGGUCCAGACUCCUACGGGAGGCAGCAGUAGGGAAUCUUCCGCAAUGGGCGAAAGCCUGACGGAGCAACGCCGCGUGAGUGAAGAAGGUCUUCGGAUCGUAAAACUCUGUUAUUAGGGAAGAACAAAUGUGUAAGUAACUAUGCACGUCUUGACGGUACCUAAUCAGAAAGCCACGGCUAACUACGUG